Schistocerca serialis cubense is the source of this 172-nucleotide long non-coding RNA. RefSeq lists it as uncharacterized. Lineage: Eukaryota; Metazoa; Arthropoda; Insecta; Orthoptera; Acrididae. The transcript is spliced from 2 exons. The record is from RefSeq and is a predicted model, not a curated record.
UCUGAACUCAGAUCAUGUAAGAAUUUAAAGGUCGAACAGACCUAAUUACUGGGCUACUGCACCCAAAAUUUUUCUUAAUCCAACAUCGAGGUCGCAAUCUGCUUUGUCGAUAUGAGCUCUCAAAAACAAUUACGCUGUUAUCCCUAAGGUAACUUAAUCUUAUGAUCAUAAA